RNAcentral lists this long non-coding RNA (884 nucleotides) under Cyanistes caeruleus (blue tit). RNAcentral describes it as "lncRNA (ENSCCEG00000014094.1)". Lineage: Eukaryota; Metazoa; Chordata; Aves; Passeriformes; Paridae. The record is from RNAcentral.
CCCCCCCCCAAAUAAAACAGAAAUAAAAAAGGAUGUAACAAUUGGGAAAUAAUUAAAAUCCUACCUAAAUAUCCAAAUAGCUAUUAUUAUGGUGCAGGUUGUAGGAACUGUUGGAAAUUUUGAAUAUCCACCAUACAGAUCAGCUGGUCUGGUUGCACUCAUCCUCAGGUGAUGAGGGAAUUAGCCAGUUAAUUUACUGAACCAUUGGCAAUUAUUUUUGAAAGUCAUGGAGAACUAUGGAAGUCCCAAAGGCUGGAAAUAAAGCAAAUAUAGUAUUGAUUUACACAGAAGGAAGAAUGAUCUUGGCAAUUACUGCCCAGCACUUUUAUCUUCAAUCUCCAGUAAAAUAAUCGACCCAGCAGUACAAAAAGAGCUAUUAGAAAACUUCAAGAGGGCAUUGGAAACAUGAGCAACAAGUGACGUGGGAUAAAGAAAGAAUCCAUUCUAGAGGGAGUUAUUGAUGUUUUCUACAUAGAAGACUAGAAUCAAAAGGACAUCUGCAGGAGACCAUUUCUGUAAAUUGCAGUUCAAAAGUCUGUCACCUGAUGCGACUCCUGGGGGCAAAAGCAGCACCACUUCAAUGCUAUCCCAGCAUGAAAAAGUUAAUAAAGUACAUGUCACUGAGAAACCAAUUGUACCUGCAAGGCAACCAAAUGGAAGCAAGGAAGCAAGAGAAAGCCUUAGAAACGUUCAUGUUGAUUUGUCAGAUGCUGAUGACCACCAUGCAGAAAGCACUUUCCUUCACUGUCACCCUCCCACUGCCUGCUAACCCCCCACAAGGCCCAGCAAGCAAAGUGCCAUACCACCAAUUCACCACUGAGACACAGAGGAAGCAAGUUUUCUUUCUGCUUCCUGUAUAUAUAUAUAUAUAUAUAUAUAUAUAA